This 133-nucleotide small nucleolar RNA is filed under the name Carlito syrichta (Philippine tarsier). Its description in RNAcentral is "Small nucleolar RNA SNORA70 (ENSTSYG00000023789.2)". It matches the Rfam family "Small nucleolar RNA SNORA70". Rfam says of the family: snoRNA U70 seems to be exclusive to mammals and is a member of the H/ACA class of snoRNA which contain H (ANANNA) and ACA box motifs. H/ACA box snoRNAs are involved in the conversion of uridines to pseudouridines (5-ribosyluracil) a constituent of structural RNAs (transfer, ribosomal, small nuclear, and small nucleolar). The record is from Rfam by way of RNAcentral. Lineage: Eukaryota; Metazoa; Chordata; Mammalia; Primates; Tarsiidae.
CUGCAGUUAAUUAAACCUACUCGAUGCCUUUCCUCAUGGGAGACUGGUGUGCAAUGGUGCAUACAGUAACUUCUGUGUUGGUGUACCUAGCCUGCGGCUUGUGUGGACUGCUCCAAGGCGGGGGUCCCCAACC